Hibiscus syriacus is the source of this 957-nucleotide RNA transcript. It is a transcript of the gene named 60S ribosomal protein L28-2-like, with no coding region annotated. The transcript has 3 exons. NCBI's taxonomy places the organism in Eukaryota, Viridiplantae, Streptophyta, Magnoliopsida, Malvales, Malvaceae. The record is from RefSeq and is a predicted model, not a curated record.
ACGGGCUGCAAAAGCCCAAAAACAAACCUGAAAAGGAGCCGUAGAAACCCUAGUCUGUAAUCAAUAUAUAUUUGUUAAUCUCGAUAGUUUCUUUCUGCCACGUUCGUCCUAAUAUUAUUAAACCCUGAAAUCAACAGGGAAAGAGCAAAUGGCGACAGUUCCCGGACAGUUGAUCUGGGAGGUAGUUAAGAAGAACAAUUGUUUUCUGGUGAAGCAAUUUGGAAGAGGAACUGCUGGCCUUCAGUUCAGCAAAGAGCCGAACAAUAUGUACAACCUCAACUCCUACAAACAUUCUGGUAUUGAUGGGAUUUUGAUUUGAGGAUUUUGAUCUCAGGUUUAUUGGAAACUUGAUAUCGUAGUUAUUUUACUUUGCUUUCCUUACUCAUUUCGGUAAAAGCGAAAUGGAAACGAUGUUAUCUGCGUACGCAACUAAUUUUAUAGAUAAAUGCUUAAGAGUUGAUGGGAAAUGAUAAUUGAUGUAGAACUCAAACAAAGGUAGAAUAGUCCGGAUCUGAAAAGUUGAAUUUAUGACUUUUACAAGCUAUGAUGCCUAUUUGCCUAAUACAUUUUCUUUAAUCUUUUCCGUUACCAUUCAAAGCGGGGGCAAAAGAUCAGUAUGUGCUGCUAGCAACCACCAAGACUAAGAAGCAGAACAAGCCUUCCAGCUUGCUUCACAAGUCUGUCAUGAAAAAGGACUUCUCCAGUAUGGUCAAAGCAGUCAAAAACCAGGUGACAGACAACUACUACAGGCCUGAUUUAACAAAAGCAGCCCUUGGAAGGUUGAGCGCUGUGGACAGGAGUCUGAAGGUAGCCAAGUCUGGUGUCAAGAAGAGGAACAGGCAAGCAUUGAAGGUUCGUGGCAGAAAGUGAGCUAGACCUUUCAUGUUGUAUGUGCUCUGCUAUUUUCUCUACACCAGACAAUUUUUUACCUCUUUUUCGAAAUUGUCCUUUUUUUGU